Unclassified non-coding RNA from Otolemur garnettii (small-eared galago), 102 nucleotides. It matches the Rfam family "Y RNA". From Rfam's summary of the family: Y RNAs are components of the Ro ribonucleoprotein particle (Ro RNP), in association with Ro60 and La proteins. The record is from Ensembl. NCBI's taxonomy places the organism in Eukaryota, Metazoa, Chordata, Mammalia, Primates, Galagidae.
GGCUGGUCCGAGUGCAGUGGUGUUUACAACUAAUUGAUCACAACCAGUUACAGAUUCCUUUAUUCCUUCUCCACUCCCACUGCUUCACUUGACUAGCCUAAA